Long non-coding RNA from Leopardus geoffroyi (Geoffroy's cat), 254 nucleotides. RefSeq lists it as uncharacterized. The record is from RefSeq and is a predicted model, not a curated record. The transcript has 2 exons. NCBI's taxonomy places the organism in Eukaryota, Metazoa, Chordata, Mammalia, Carnivora, Felidae.
UUGUUUUGCUGUGUGAUUCCCACCUAUCUGAUAGGAAGAUUUACUGAGGACUCCAGAGUCAAUCUGCACAUGAAAUAUCAGUAAGGUUUAUUAUUUUCAUGAUGAGACAUGGAAAGACCAUAUGAAGAAACAGUAGGUGAACCACCUAGAAGCCGGGAAGAGAGUUCUUACCAGAAAUGGAUUCAGCUGGAACUUUGCUCUUGGAUCUCUAGCCUCCAGAAUUAUGAGAAGAUAAAUUUCUAUUGUUUGAGCCA